GUGCUGGCUUUGGCAGGACAUGCACUAAAACUGGAACUACACGGAGGUUAGUAUGGCCACUGCACAAGGAUAACACACAAAUUCGUGAAGUACCGCAUGUUAAA
This is a small nuclear RNA of Nycticebus coucang (slow loris), 104 nucleotides long. The record is from RefSeq and is a predicted model, not a curated record. NCBI's taxonomy places the organism in Eukaryota, Metazoa, Chordata, Mammalia, Primates, Lorisidae.